CCUUCACCCCCAAAAUUGAAACCAAACCACCUAGUUGCCGGCCGCCACCACCAGCAACACCGCCUCAACAUCGUGGAUGUUACCAACUCCCAGCUUAUAUGAAAGAUAAUCUCCAACACAUUACAUGAAAGGCACCCCCAUCGAAAGCUCAGCAAGGAGGGGAAAAAACAUAUCUGUAACAUGCAACGGAUGUGGAGAGGAUGAUGCAUGUUCUACUGGUGGGACAGUGUGCACCGAGUUCGGGUUUUCUUGAAAUGGUUUUUUUUUUUUUUUUUUUGGAUUUCGCGACUGUAUCUUUGAUGACAAAGUCUGUGCAGGUAGCAGAGGACGUUAACUGGCGGCGGCGGCGGUGGUGGUGAAUUUCGAAAAAUGUAAUAAAUAAUGUCCAUUUGGAAUAAGUUUCGAAACGUUUGUGUUUGUUUAGUACUCUCUAAAUACCAAUAGAUGAUUAGGACAUUACAUUGAUUCAUUAUGUAGUCGUUUUCAAUAAUGUUACCUCAUCUAUAGCAUAUGUUCAAGCAGUUUAAAACAAAAAUUCAAAUAAUCAUCUGUCAAAAACAAAUUCUGGAUGUUUUUUAUGUUAUCAACUCCUUGAUAUAUAAACUACUUCUUCUAGAAUAACUCUUGAUAACUAUUUUGAGAAUUCAUGACUGUUAUAGCAUUUAUCAUGGUUUCACGAAGUCAGGGCACUAACUUCCAGAAGGCCUAACAAAGCAACGAUGCCCAAGAUGCAGCAAGGGAUUUGUGAAAUGGAUGGAGCAAUGUUACGACAAAGAAAAACACGAGCAAUUUGAGGGUGAGUCAAGUGGUAUAUCAAGAUGUAUUUGUUCGGAUAAAGAUCCAAUGCCAGAUUUAUCAUGUAUGUUGAGCUAAAAUAACGGAACAACAGUAUGCGGAGAUCUCUCUCAAUAUUACUAUCCCCAAUGGAAAAGGAUAUGUAGAAGAGAAUGAAAAGCUAAAGGGCAGAGCUUCAUGCAAUUGUAUUGCUUAUCUUAGUACUAAAAACGAUCUUAUUGUAAUCGAUGUGGUCUACGGAUGUUAUUUUAAUCUUGAAGUUUUAUUUAUGUAUGAAUCCAUACGUAUUUCUUAUGAAGUUUGAAUACCGUGUUAUUCAAGUAUGAAAUAUUUUUGUUUUUGUUUAAUUAUAACUAUAUUUCCA
This 1159-nucleotide long non-coding RNA is filed under the name Olea europaea subsp. europaea. The record is from RNAcentral. Lineage: Eukaryota; Viridiplantae; Streptophyta; Magnoliopsida; Lamiales; Oleaceae.